Molecule: ribosomal RNA, 253 nt
Filed under: uncultured bacterium
Lineage: Bacteria
Description: partial 16S ribosomal RNA
Rfam family: Bacterial small subunit ribosomal RNA
Source: RNAcentral
CACGUAGGAGGCAAACGUUAUCCGGAUUUACUGGGCGUAAAGCGCGUGUAGGUGGUUCUGUAAGUAGGGCGUGAAAGCUCCUGGCUCAACUGGGAGAGGCCGUUCUAAACUGCAGAGCUAGAGGAUGGUAGAGGGAGGUGGAAUUCCGGGUGUAGCGGUGGAAUGCGCAGAUAUCCGGAGGAACACCAGUGGCGAAAGCGGCCUCCUGGACCAUUCCUGACACUCAGACGCGAAAGCUAGGGUAGCAAACGGG